RNAcentral lists this ribosomal RNA (253 nucleotides) under uncultured bacterium. RNAcentral describes it as "partial 16S ribosomal RNA". It matches the Rfam family "Bacterial small subunit ribosomal RNA", at positions 524 to 776 of the family's 1533-position model. The record is from RNAcentral.
UACGUAGGUGGCAAGCGUUGUCCGGAUUUAUUGGGUUUAAAGGGGGCGUAGGCGGCCCUGUAAGUCAGUGCUGAAAUAUCCCAGCUUAACUGGGAGGGUGGCAUUGAUACUGCGGGGCUAGAGUACAGAUGAGGUAGGCGGAAUUGACGGUGUAGCGGUGAAAUGCUUAGAUAUCGUCAAGAACACCUAUAGCGAAGGCAGCUUACUAGGCUGUAACUGACGCUGAGGUACGAAAGUGUGGGGAUCAAACAGG